Non-coding RNA from Miniopterus natalensis, 328 nucleotides. The record is from RefSeq and is a predicted model, not a curated record. Lineage: Eukaryota; Metazoa; Chordata; Mammalia; Chiroptera; Miniopteridae.
CUGCAGAUUUCAGUUCCGCCACAUCAUGGGCUCCUACCAACUGAGUAACCUGGGUGAGCAGCUGGUCUCCACACCAACUCCCAUUACUCGUGGGCAUGCCGUUUGCUAAGACUUGCCGGCACUUGACUAGACUUCCUUCUAAUGCGGGCGCCUGUUACGAUGUCAUCUCCCCAGCCUCAACCACUUCUUCCAGAAAAGAUUCUACAAACUCCUUAAUCAUCUACGGGGCCAAAUAAGAGGAUGCUGACAUGAGAUGAACAGCUGCUGGGGCAGGCACGCAGCGGCAAUGAAGACGUAGAGAGAGAACAUUGUUCUUAACAAAAAACAG